Molecule: long non-coding RNA, 672 nt
Organism: Cololabis saira (Pacific saury)
Lineage: Eukaryota; Metazoa; Chordata; Actinopteri; Beloniformes; Belonidae
Exons: 3
Source: RefSeq, a predicted model, not a curated record
AAAAAAAACUCUGAGAAUCACCCUCAGAAAUAACGCUUAGAAAACCAAGGAAUGCAACAACCACUUAGAUUCCUCCUGAACAGAAGUCGCAGCUAGGAGGACCUGAGCAGGGAUGAUGCCAGCAGAAAGAGUCUUGUAGGAAAUGCAAAGUUCUACAGUUGGAGCUCGUGCGAGUCUCCUCCGAGAAGAAGCUUUAAAACAUGUCAAUGUUUCCCGAUGGUGGCGCUGACAUGAACGACAAAGAGAUGUCGCUGCCUGAGGAAGAUCCAUUGUUCUAUCAGAAUCUAAUUCCCAACAAGAAGAAAAAUUCUGGGGGAAAUUACAUCGUGGAGAAUUACUGCUUAUAUUGUGGAAAGGCUUAUCAGAAACUGUCGAGACAUCUGUUGGCCAAACACAAAGAUGAAGCAAAUGUCGUGAAAGCUAUGAGCUUUUCAGAGAUCUCUAAGGAAAGGCUACUUCAUUUUCAAUACAUCAAAAAUAAGGGGAACUUGAAGCAUGACACAAACGGUUUGAAAAUCUACAAAUGCGAAAUCAUCCCCUGGAAGCCGAAGAGAAAAUCUGAUGGAAGAAGACGGAUACGCUGCGAGUACUGCUACACGUGUUGUUUGGAGAGCUCGAUGAAGAAACAUCGCAAGAUCUGCAAGCUUAAGGAUAAGCUUAAGCUACCUAAAC